ACAGUAGUACAAACAUGAAUAACAUUGCUGCUUUUGGUGUUCAGGCAAGCACAUCUGUUCACGGUGCUAGACUACAUCACGUAGCAUGCCAGACGGACCCACCAAAGAUGCGCACACAUGGAACGCAGCUUUCUAUGAAAACACUGCGACCUCACUACAAAAGUACAGGCACACAGAAAACUGUGCUGCACUGAUGUCGGUGUUGGGACCUCAGCUGUAAGAGACCUCGCUUGGAGGAGGGAGAGGACAAGAUGUGACAUUACAUGGAUAACCUGUUGGACCUCAUCUUUCACGAGGUUUUUCAGGACCCGGCCCCAUAUGUGAAUGAGCUGCUGAAGAUCUCAAAACCUGAGGAUCUCUCUGCCUAGUAUGAGAAACCUGACAAGCAGGAAGUUAUUGCCAGCUAUGUGUCGAGUUUCAAUCAAGGGCAGGUCUGAACCCUGUAUAACUUCCCUGAGCAUCAGGGAACACUCUGCGGAUCUGGAGCACCGAGCAGGAGGGCAGGACCACCCUGAUUCUCCGGCCCAGAGGGCCUCAACACCAGCUCACAAAGCUUCUGUACGCCAAAUACCUGUAACGGCUGAGCAA
Long non-coding RNA from Pleuronectes platessa (European plaice), 588 nucleotides. RefSeq lists it as uncharacterized. NCBI's taxonomy places the organism in Eukaryota, Metazoa, Chordata, Actinopteri, Pleuronectiformes, Pleuronectidae. The transcript is spliced from 3 exons. The record is from RefSeq and is a predicted model, not a curated record.